This 2982-nucleotide ribosomal RNA is filed under the name Solanum pennellii. Its description in RNAcentral is "bacterial LSU rRNA". It matches the Rfam family "Bacterial large subunit ribosomal RNA". The record is from RNAcentral. Lineage: Eukaryota; Viridiplantae; Streptophyta; Magnoliopsida; Solanales; Solanaceae.
GGAAAGGCUAACGGUGGAUACCUAGGAACCCAGAGAUGAGGAAGGGCGUAGUAAUCGAUGAAAUACUUCGGGGAGUUGAAAAUAAGCAUAGAUAUGGAGAUUCUCGAAUAGGGCAACCUCUCGAACUGCAGCUGAAUCCAUGGGCAGGCAAGAGAUAAAUUGGUGAACUGCAACAUCUUAGUAGCCAGAGAAAAAGAUAGCAAAAGUGAUUCCCGUAGUAGCGACGAGCGAAAUGGGAGAAGCCUAAACCGUCAAAAUGGGGUUGUGGGAGAGCAAUACAAGCGUCGUGCUGCUAGGCAAAGCAGCCUGAAUUUUGCACGCUAGAUGGCGAAAGUCAUGUAGAUGAAAGCAUCACUAUCUUACGCUCUGACCCGAGUAGCAUGGGGCAUGUUGAAUCCCGUGUGAAUCAUCAAGGACCACCUUGCAAGGGUAAAUACUCAUGGGUGACCGACAGCGAUGUAGUACUGUGAGGGAAGGGUUAAAAGAACCCCCAUCGGGGAGUGAAAUAGAACAUGAAACCGUAAGCUGCCAAGCAGUGGGACGAUCCAGGGCUGUGACCACGUGCCUGUUGAACAAUGAGCCGGCGACUAAUAGUUUGUGGCUUCGUUGAGGGAACCCACCGGAGCCAUAGCAAAGGCGAGUCACUACUUAUAGACCUGAACCUUGGUGAUCUAUCCAUGACAAGGAUGAAGCUUUGGUGAAACUAUGUGGAUGUUUGAACCAACUGAUGUUGAAGAAUCAACGGAUGAGUUGUUGUUAGGGGUGAAAUGUAACUCGAACCAGAGCUAGCUAGUUCUCCCCGAAAUGCAAUGAGGCACAAAAGUUGACUAGACAUCUAAGGGUAAAGCACUGCUUCAGUGCAGGCCGCGAGAGCGGUACCAAAUUGAGGCAAACUCUGAAUACUAGAUAUGACCUCAAAAUAACAGGGGUCAAGGUCGGCUAGUGAGACGAUGGGGGAUACACUUCAUCAUCGAGAGGGAAACAACCCGAUUCAGCAGAUAUGGCCCCUAAAUAUCACUCAGUGAUAAAGGAGGUAGGGGUGCAGAGACAGCUAGGAGGUUUGCCUAGAAGCAGCCACCCUUGAAAGAGUGCUAAUAUCUCAGUGAUCGAGCACUCUUGUACCGAAGAUGAAUGGGGCUAAGCGGUCUGCCGAAGCUGUGGGAUGUAAAAAUACACCAGUAUGGAAGCAUUCCGCCUUAGAGAGAAGCCUUCGCGCGAGAGAUGGUGGACAAAGCGGAAGUGAGAAUGUCGGCUUGAGUAACACAAACAUUGGUGAGAAUCCAAUGCCCCGAAAACCUAAGGGUUCCUCCGCAAGGUUCGUCCAUGGAGGGUGAGUCAGGGCCUAAGAUCAGGCCGAAAGGCGUAGUGGAUUGACAACGGGUGAAUAUUCCUGUACUACCCCUUGUUAGUCUCGAGGGAAUGAAGAGGCUAGGUUAGCCGAAAGAUGGUUAUCGGUUCAAGAACGUAAGGUGUCCCUACUUUUUCAGGAUAAGAAGGGGUAGAGAAAAUGCCUGGAGAAAAUGUUCGAAUACAAGGUGCUACGGCGUUGAAGUAACCCAUGCCAUACUCCAAGGAAAAGCUCGAACGACGUUAAGCAAGAGGGCACCUAUACCCGAAACCAACACAGGUGGGUAGGUAGAGAAUACCUAGGGGCGCUAGACAACUCUCUCGAAGGAACUCGGCAAUAUAGCCCCGUAACUUCGGGAGAAGGGGUGCCUCCUCACAAAGGGGGUCGCAGUGACCAGGCCCGGGCAACUAUUUACCAAAACACAGGUCUCUGCAAAGUCGUAAGACCAUGUACGGGGGCUGACGCCUACCCAGUGCCUGAAGGUCAAGCAAGUUCAUAAGCUGAUGACAGGGGUGCCAGCGACUAAAGCCCCGUUGAACGGCGGCCAUAAAUAUAACGGUCCUAAGGUAGAAAAAUUCCUUGUCAGCUAAGUUCCGACCCGCAUGAAAGGCGUAAUGAUCUGGGCACUGUCUCAGAGAGAGGCUCGGUGAAAUAGACAUUUCUAUGUAGAUGCGGACUACCUACACCUGUAGAGAAAGACCCUAUGAAGCUUCACUGUUCCCUGGGAUUGACUUUGAGCCUUUCCAGCGUAGCAUAUGUGGAAGGCGAAGAAGGCCUCCUUCCGGGGGGCCCGAGCCAUUAGUGAGAUACAAUUCUGGAAGGGCUAGAAUUCUAACCUUGUGUCAGGAGCUACGGGCCAAGGGACAAUCUCAGGUAGACGGUUUCUAUGGGGUGUAGGCCUUCCAAAAGGUAACGGAGGCGUGCAAAGGUUUCCUCGGGUCAGACAUAGAUUGGCCCUCGAGUGAAAAGACAGAAGGGAGCUUGACAGCAAGACCUACCUGUCAAGAAGGGACGAUAGUCGGCCUUAGUCAUCCGACGGUGCCGAGUGGAUGGGUCGUUGCUCAACGGAUAAAACUUACUCUAGAUAUAACAGACUGAUCUUCACAAGAGCUCACAUCGACGGGAAUGUUUAGCACCUCGAUAAUAGCUCUUCGCCACCUAGGGCUGUAGUAUGUACCAAGGGUUGGGUUGUUCGCCCAUUAAAGCGGUACGUGAGCUAGGUUCAAAACGUCGUGAGACAGUUCGGUCCAUAUCAAUUGUGGGUGUUAUAGCAUUGAGAGGACCUUUCCCUAGUACGAGAGGACCGGGAAGGACGCACCUUUUGUGUACCAGUUAUCAUAACCACGGUAAAUGUUGGGUAGCAAAGUGCGGAGCGGAUAUCUGCUUAAAGCAUCUAAGUAGUAAGACCACCCCAAGAUGAUUGCUCUCCUAUUCUGACUUCCGCAGAGCUUUCGGUAGCACAGCCGAGACAGCGACGGGUUCUCUUCCCCUGCGGGGAUUGAGCGACAAAAGUUUUUUUGAUAAUUCUAGAGAAGGUCAGGGCGAGACGAGCCGUUUAUCAUUACAAUAGGUUUCAAGUGGAAGUGCAGUGAUGUAUGCAACUGAGGCAUCCUAACAGACCAGUAGACUUGAAC